AGGAUAGUAGUUUAAAGUAAAACUUUUAAGUUGCAUUUAAAAAAUAUUGAUUAAUAAUCUAUCUUA
RNAcentral lists this transfer RNA (66 nucleotides) under Trypodendron signatum. Its description in RNAcentral is "tRNA-Ala". The record is from RNAcentral. Lineage: Eukaryota; Metazoa; Arthropoda; Insecta; Coleoptera; Curculionidae.